GGGAGUAAAAGUCGUAACAAGGGAUCUGUAGGUGAACCUGCAGAUGGAUCAUUCGUAUAAUUUUAUUAUUAUUAUAUAUGUUACAUAAGUGUUAAUAGUACUUUGAAGGGUUAUAUAAUAUCAUUUUAUAUUUAUUAUUCAACUUUAUUAUAAAAAUAGUGAACAUAAAUUUUUAACAAUGGAUAUCUUGGCUUUU
This 196-nucleotide unclassified non-coding RNA is filed under the name plant metagenome. RNAcentral's name for it is "partial contains small subunit ribosomal RNA and internal transcribed spacer 1". The stretch from base 1 to 54 matches the Rfam family "Eukaryotic small subunit ribosomal RNA", at positions 1778 to 1831 of the family's 1831-position model. The record is from RNAcentral.